GAGAGCGGCGUACGGGUGCGGAACACGUGUGCAACCUGCCUUUAUCAGGGGGAUAGCCUUUCGAAAGGAAGAUUAAUACCCCAUAAUAUUUUGGAUGGCAUCAUUUAAAAUUGAAAACUGAGGUGGAUAAAGAUGGGCACGCGCAAGAUUAGAUAGUUGGUGAGGUAACGGCUCACCAAGUCGAUGAUCUUUAGGGGGCCUGAGAGGGUGAUCCCCCACACUGGUACUGAGACACGGACCAGACUCCUACGGGAGGCAGCAGUGAGGAAUAUUGGACAAUGGGUUAGCGCCUGAUCCAGCCAUCCCGCGUGAAGGACGACGGCCCUAUGGGUUGUAAACUUCUUUUGUACAGGGAUAAACCUAUCUACGUGUAGAUAGCUGAAGGUACUGUACGAAUAAGCACCGGCUAACUCCGUGCCAGCAGCCGCGGUAAUAC
RNAcentral lists this ribosomal RNA (436 nucleotides) under Chryseobacterium sp. MCA2.23. Its description in RNAcentral is "bacterial SSU rRNA". It matches the Rfam family "Bacterial small subunit ribosomal RNA", at positions 91 to 526 of the family's 1533-position model. Lineage: Bacteria; Pseudomonadati; Bacteroidota; Flavobacteriia; Flavobacteriales; Weeksellaceae. The record is from RNAcentral.